RNAcentral lists this ribosomal RNA (449 nucleotides) under uncultured bacterium. RNAcentral describes it as "bacterial SSU rRNA". It matches the Rfam family "Bacterial small subunit ribosomal RNA", at positions 340 to 786 of the family's 1533-position model. The record is from RNAcentral.
UACGGGAGGCAGCAGUGGGGAAUAUUGCACAAUGGGCGCAAGCCUGAUGCAGCCAUGCCGCGUGUAUGAAGAAGGCCUUCGGGUUGUAAAGUACUUUCAGUCGUGAGGAAGGUGUUAAGGUUAAUAACCUUAGCAAUUGACGUUAGCGACAGAAGAAGCACCGGCUAACUCCGUGCCAGCAGCCGCGGUAAUACGGAGGGUGCGAGCGUUAAUCGGAAUUACUGGGCGUAAAGGGCACGCAGGCGGUUAAUAGUUGGAUGUGAAUCCCCGGGCUUAACCUGGGAAUGGCAUUCAAGACUGGUUAGCUAGAGUCUUGUAGAGGGGGUGAAUUCCAUGUGUAGCGGUGAAAUGCGUAGAGAUGUGGAGGAAUACCGGUGGCGAAGGCGGCCCCUGGGACAAAGACUGACGCUCAUGUGCGAAAGCGUGGGGAGCAAACAGGAUUAGAUACC